UACGUAGGGUGCAGGCGUUAAUCGGAAUUACUGGGCGUAAAGCGUGCGCAGGCGGUUUGCUAAGACAGGUGUGAAAUCCCCGGGCUCAACCUGGGAACUGCAUCUGUGACUGCAUAGCUAGAGUACGGUAGAGGGGAUGGAAUUCCGCGUGUAGCAGUGAAAUGCGUAGAUAUGCGGAGGAACACCGAUGGCGAAGGCAAUCCCCUGGACCUGUACUGACGCUCAUGCACGAAAGCGUGGGGAGCAAACAGG
Molecule: ribosomal RNA, 252 nt
Filed under: uncultured bacterium
Lineage: Bacteria
Description: partial 16S ribosomal RNA
Rfam family: Bacterial small subunit ribosomal RNA
Source: RNAcentral